RNAcentral lists this small RNA (98 nucleotides) under Sodalis endosymbiont of Henestaris halophilus. RNAcentral's name for it is "t44 RNA". It matches the Rfam family "t44 RNA". From Rfam's summary of the family: This family consists of a number of bacterial RNA genes of between 135 and 170 bases in length. The t44 gene is found between the map and rpsB genes in all species in the full alignment apart from Shigella flexneri. The record is from Rfam by way of RNAcentral. Lineage: Bacteria; Pseudomonadati; Pseudomonadota; Gammaproteobacteria; Enterobacterales; Bruguierivoracaceae.
AAUUUAAUUCUGUUAUUACACACACGUAUCGUCACAUGCAACGGGGUGCUUUAACCGUCAGGUAGGAGUUAGUCGUAUGGGAUACGUGGAAGCAUAAC